RNAcentral lists this transfer RNA (77 nucleotides) under Actinomadura sp. WAC 06369. Its description in RNAcentral is "tRNA-Leu". It matches the Rfam family "tRNA". Rfam says of the family: Transfer RNA (tRNA) molecules are approximately 80 nucleotides in length. Their secondary structure includes four short double-helical elements and three loops (D, anti-codon, and T loops). The record is from RNAcentral. Lineage: Bacteria; Bacillati; Actinomycetota; Actinomycetes; Streptosporangiales; Thermomonosporaceae.
GCCCUCGUAGCCCAAUUGGUAGAGGCAAACCCCUUAAAAGGGUUGUGGUGUCGGUUCGAAUCCGAUCGAGGGCACCG